GGCGAAAGCCUGAAGGAGCGACGCCGCGUGGAGGAUGAAGGCUUUCGGGUUGUAAACUCCUGUCAUUUGAGAACAAGUGUAGCUAAGUAACUACUGGCUACUUGAUAGUAUCAGAAGAGGAGGGGACGGCUAACUCUGUGCCAGCAGCCGCGGUAAUACAGAGGUCCCAAGCGUUGUUCGGAUUCAUUGGGCGUAAAGGGUGCGUAGGUGGCGCCGUCAGUGGGGUGUGAAAUUUCGGAGCUUAACUCCGAAACUGCAUUCCAUACUGCGGUGCUUGAGGACUGGAGAGGAGACUGGAAUUCAUGGUGUAGCAGUGAAAUGCGUAGAGAUCAUGAGGAAGACCGGUGGCGAAGGCGGGUCUCUGGACAGUUCCUGACACUGAGGCACGAAGGCUAGGGGAGCGAACGGGAUUAGAUACCCCGGUAGUCCUAGCAAUAAACGGUGCACGUUUGGUGUGAGAGGAUUCGACCCCUUUCGCGCCGGAGCUAACGCGUUAAACGUGCCGCCUGGGGAGUACGGUCGCAAGACUAAAACUCAAAGGAAUUGACGG
RNAcentral lists this ribosomal RNA (550 nucleotides) under uncultured bacterium. RNAcentral describes it as "bacterial SSU rRNA". It matches the Rfam family "Bacterial small subunit ribosomal RNA", at positions 374 to 916 of the family's 1533-position model. The record is from RNAcentral.